CUUUCUGUACAGUACAUAAAAACAAUUAAGCAAUCAAGUUUAUUAGUCUGUAACCAUGAACUUAGACAUGUACUGUAGCCUACAGUGUGAAAUUGCAUUCCCUUUUAGGUUGGAUAGAUACAUGACACAGUUUGUCAUUUGCAUUUUUCUCUUUUACAGAUCUCUAUUUUCAUCGGUCAGCUUCCUACCAUUUUUUAUUGCAUUCAGAACAGAUGAGGUAUACCUGGAACUGAGACAUAGAAGCUGAUUUGGUAACUCGUAUGAUGAUGUUGAGACAAGUAAGCAGCUUGGCCCAUGUAUGCCAAUAUAAGAGCUGGAUAAACCAGAAAGAAUAAGAGAAGUGACCAAGAUCAGCAAACAUCGCCUCAGACCCUGCAUGGAUGGCAUUUAUUGGUUCGUCAGUUGUCACAAUGAGACAAACUCAAGGUAUUGGUAUUAGUUAUCCAUAUACAGCUACUUUUUGGGAAGACUUUCAGAUGGUCUAGUAAUGAUUUAGCUCGUAGAAGAAAGAAACGGAUAGAAUACAGAUUUAUUGUUAUCUGGCGUAUUGCUACUAUUAUAGCCUUGAAAAUUAAAGCAUGCUAGAUGUUCUACUCAAAAUGAUAGGAGUCCUUCCUUGAGCAUCAUGUGAGUAAAACUUUUGAAGUUACAAUCUAGUCAUAUCAACUUAUAUGGAUAUUCACUAGCAGGUUAAAUCUAUGAUAAAUGUUGAAAGGCUGCCCCACUUGCCAAAAAUACUAGAUCUACUAUCAUCAGAUAAUGAUUUAUCGACUGUGAAUUAACCUUUGGCAUGAGCAAAAAUAACUAAUGUCCCAGACAUGGAUUAUUUUGAGGAAGGAGAUUAUACUGAACCUAAAAACUGUGAUGUGUACAAAAGGUGCAAACCAACAUGAAAAUUUAUCUCAUGUAUGUACGUAAAUAUGUGUAAAUGUGUCUAUGUAUAUUGCAAAGUCACCUGUUAUGCAGAGCAGUAUGCCUCCCAAGGACAUCCAUCCACCUUUCCUUGUCUUCUUCAAGAACUUGAACAUGUAAUAUGGAGAGAGAGCUUGAUAGACAUGCGGGUUCCAGUAGAUUAUAUUAUAUAUCCCAAGGGAACUUAUGCAUAGUAGCCAUGUUAACACAAUCGGAGCAAAGAAAAAUCCGACUCUAUGCGUGCCAUAGUGUUGAAGAGCAAAAAGACACACCAAAAUGAAGCAAGUGAUUGGAAUAACUGCAUCUGUAAAUGAAGGCAAGAAAUUAAGAAGUGAUAGGAAAUUAGAGCAAACACAAGAAUUAACUAUGCAUAUGUUUAAACUAAGUAUAGCAACAGAUAAAAUUAGCCAUACCAUUGAAAUAAAACAGGAGUAAAUGUCUCUGUCUCCAAAACAAUUGACCAACAGAAUAUGUUUUAUUUCCACCUUAAGUUAUUGUAAAUCAUGCAGAAAAGCACGAUCAUGUACAGAAUUCUUUUCAGGAAUAUCACAACUUCAAUAUUUUCCUUUUUCUUUUACUUUACUUCACAAAAAGUAAAAAACUACCAAUUCAACCAUUCCAGCAAUCUUAUGAAACUACCAUUUCGAAAAACAGAUGGAAGAGGAACAGAUAAGAACAAAAGAAAGGAUAUGGUAAUUCCAGACCACAACAUGCUCUUGAAUGGUCCCAGCGGGCCGAUUGGUUUUUCUUCACUAACUACAAGCGAAUGACAAACAGAAGGAAGCACCAAGCUUAUUACUUAAUUAUUUUUGUUAAAUUUCAGGGUGUCAACUUCGCUUAAAAAGACAGCCAUGGUCCAUGGUUGAAAGUUAAUACAAACACCAUAGGCCUUAUACCUGUCUCCCUUGUUCUUGCCCUUUCUCCACAACAAGGGACAUGAAUGUCACUCCAAAUGCAAAUGGAAAUUGUUUAAUAAUCAGGAAAUUAAACCUGCUGUUUACACUCUUGCUUUACAAAAUACUCCCAAGUCAUUUUUAGUUAAUACAAAACGGAAGUUUGGCUCAAACAUAAUAUCAGAAACUCCAAUGCGACUGAAUAAGAGAGGAAGAUCAAAGCUAGCAACUUGAGGAGCUUACACUGGUGAUGUUCCUUGGACAUGGACAACUCAAGGCCAGACACAGCAGAGAAAACUGCAUAUAUAUUAAUUAGUCAGUGACUGAGAAAACUCAUUCGCAAAUUUAAGCAACUGACUGCUAAGAGGUUUACCAGAAAUUGCUGGAGUGAGAACUCCAUCUCCAAUUACCAUACAAGUACCAAGAAGAACCAA
Gossypium arboreum is the source of this 2239-nucleotide long non-coding RNA. RefSeq lists it as uncharacterized. Lineage: Eukaryota; Viridiplantae; Streptophyta; Magnoliopsida; Malvales; Malvaceae. The transcript has 2 exons. The record is from RefSeq and is a predicted model, not a curated record.